GGAUUUUAAAGCUAAGGUUAUUUUUAAAUAGCAGGGAUUAUUUGUAAAUAUUUUAUUAAAGAGUGCGGGGAUUCGUCUCGGGACCACUCUAAUGGUUAAUGGCCUAAUUGUGUGGCGGACUCUAGUGGUAAUUUUGUUCAUUGAAGAUUGUCAUUUUUUGAGUAAGAUCAAGAUUUUUAAAUGAAAUUAUGGUGUCUUAUUUAUUAUUUAUUUAUGCGAUACGACUGAAUAGCUAAAUGUUUUAAAAUAAUAAUAAAUACGUGGAGAUACUUAAGUAUAAAUACUAUAUUAUAAAUAUAUUACAGUUGUCGAUAU
Long non-coding RNA from Cotesia glomerata, 315 nucleotides. RefSeq lists it as uncharacterized. The transcript is spliced from 3 exons. The record is from RefSeq and is a predicted model, not a curated record. Lineage: Eukaryota; Metazoa; Arthropoda; Insecta; Hymenoptera; Braconidae.